RNAcentral lists this ribosomal RNA (253 nucleotides) under uncultured bacterium. Its description in RNAcentral is "partial 16S ribosomal RNA". It matches the Rfam family "Bacterial small subunit ribosomal RNA", at positions 524 to 776 of the family's 1533-position model. The record is from RNAcentral.
UACGUAGGGUGCGAGCGUUGUCCGGAAUUAUUGGGCGUAGAGGGCUCGUAGGCGGUUUGUCACGUCAGGAGUGAAAACUCGGGGCUCAACCCCGAGACUGCUUCUGAUACGGGCAGACUGGAGGUAUGCAGGGGAGAACGGAAUUCCUGGUGUAGCGGUGAAAUGCGCAGAUAUCAGGAGGAACACCGGUGGCGAAGGCGGUUCUCUGGGCAUUACCUGACGCUGAGGAGCGAAAGUGUGGGGAGCGAACAGG